AGCAGCCGCCACGGUAAUACGUAGGUGGCAAGCGUUGUCCGGAAUUAUUGGGCGUAAAGGGCUCGCAGGCGGUUUCUUAAGUCUGAUGUGAAAGCCCCCGGCUCAACCGGGGAGGGUCAUUGGAAACUGGGAAACUUGAGUGCAGAAGAGGAGAGUGGAAUUCCACGUGUAGCGGUGAAAUGCGUAGAGAUGUGGAGGAACACCAGUGGCGAAGGCGACUCUCUGGUCUGUAACUGACGCUGAGGAGCGAAUGCGUGGGGAGCGAACAGGAUUAGAUACCCCGGUAGUCCCUGUCUCUUAUAC
RNAcentral lists this ribosomal RNA (303 nucleotides) under uncultured bacterium. RNAcentral describes it as "partial 16S ribosomal RNA". It matches the Rfam family "Bacterial small subunit ribosomal RNA", at positions 507 to 807 of the family's 1533-position model. The record is from RNAcentral.